This 871-nucleotide ribosomal RNA is filed under the name Achromobacter insolitus. RNAcentral describes it as "bacterial SSU rRNA". It matches the Rfam family "Bacterial small subunit ribosomal RNA", at positions 9 to 873 of the family's 1533-position model. Lineage: Bacteria; Pseudomonadati; Pseudomonadota; Betaproteobacteria; Burkholderiales; Alcaligenaceae. The record is from RNAcentral.
AGAGUUUGAUCAUGGCUCAGAUUGAACGCUAGCGGGAUGCCUUACACAUGCAAGUCGAACGGCAGCACGGACUUCGGUCUGGUGGCGAGUGGCGAACGGGUGAGUAAUGUAUCGGAACGUGCCCAGUAGCGGGGGAUAACUACGCGAAAGCGUAGCUAAUACCGCAUACGCCCUACGGGGGAAAGCAGGGGAUCGCAAGWCCUUGCACUAUUGGAGCGGCCGAUAUCGGAUUAGCUAGUUGGUGGGGUAACGGCUCACCAAGGCGACGAUCCGUAGCUGGUUUGAGAGGACGWCCAGCCACACUGGGACUGAGACACGGCCCAGAYUCCUACGGGAGGCAGCAGUGGGGAWUUUUGGACAAUGGGGGAAAYCCUGAUCCAGCCAUCCCGCGUGUGCGAUGAAGGCCUUCGGGUUGUAAAGCACUUUUGGCAGGAAAGAAACGUCGCGGGUUAAUACCUCGCGAAACUGACGGUACCUGCAGAAUAAGCACCGGCUAACUACGUGCCAGCAGCCGCGGUAAUACGUAGGGUGCAAGCGUUAAUCGGAAUUACUGGGCGUAAAGCGUGCSCAGGCGGUUCGGAAAGAAAGAUGUGAAAUCCCAGAGCUUAACUUUGGAACUGCAUUUUUAACUACCGGGCUAGAGUGUGUCAGAGGGAGGUGGAAUUCCGCGUGUAGCAGUGAAAUGCGUAGAUAUGCGGAGGAACACCGAUGGCGAAGGCAGCCUCCUGGGAUAACACUGACGCUCAUGCACGAAAGCGUGGGGAGCAAACAGGAUUAGAUMCCCUGGUAGUCCACGCCCUAAAMRAUGUCAAMUAGCUGUUGGGGCCUUCGGSCCUUGGUAGCGCAGCUAACGCGUGAAGUUGWCCCSGCC